This 301-nucleotide ribosomal RNA is filed under the name uncultured bacterium. RNAcentral describes it as "partial 16S ribosomal RNA". It matches the Rfam family "Bacterial small subunit ribosomal RNA", at positions 509 to 809 of the family's 1533-position model. The record is from RNAcentral.
CAGCCGCCGCGGGAAUACGUAGGUGGCAAGCGUUGUCCGGAAUUAUUGGGCGUAAAGAGCUCGCAGGCGGUUUCUUAAGUCUGAUGUGAAAGCCCCCGGCUCAACCGGGGAGGGUCAUUGGAAACUGGGAAACUUGAGUGCAGAAGAGGAGAGUGGAAUUCCACGUGUAGCGGUGAAAUGCGUAGAGAUGUGGAGGAACACCAGUGGCGAAGGCGACUCUCUGGUCUGUAACUGACGCUGAGGAGCGAAAGCGUGGGGAGCGAACAGGAUUAGAGACCCGGGUAGUCCCUGUCUCUUAUAA